UGCCCACUGAUGUAAAUUGAAGGGCUGCAGUAUUUUGACUGUACAAAGGUAGCAUAAUCAUUAGUCAUUUAAUUGAUGGCUUGUAUGAAAGAUUGGAUGAAAUAUAAACUGUCUUUAAUGUAAAUUGUAGAAUUUAAUUUUUAAAUUAAAAAGUUUAAAUAAAUUAAAAAGACGAGAAGACCCUAUAGAGUUUUAUUAUUUGUUUUAUUAUUUUUAUUUGUAGUUAAAGUAUUUAAAUAUGAUGAAUAAUUUUAUUGGGGUGAUAGAAAAAUUAAAUUAACUUUUUUUUUAUAUUUAACAUAAAUAAGUGGUUAAUUGAUCCAUUAUUAAUGAUUAUAAGAAAAAAUUACCUUAGGGAUAACAGCGUAAUUUUUUUUUUUAGUUCAUAUAAGAAAAAAAGUUUGCGACCUCGAUGUUGGAUUAAGAUAAAGUUUAGAUGCAGUAGUUUAAAGUUUUGA
This 458-nucleotide ribosomal RNA is filed under the name Hemerophanes diatoma. RNAcentral describes it as "partial large subunit ribosomal RNA". The record is from RNAcentral. Lineage: Eukaryota; Metazoa; Arthropoda; Insecta; Lepidoptera; Erebidae.